CAUAACAUAACUGUGGACAAAUAUAAUGUACAUGUGAAUCAAUGGCUCCUGCAGUAAAGAUUUUACCUUCACCAGCCAAUGCUUCAGUGCCACAGCCCACAAUCAUACCAGGAGUGACACCAGCCAUGACAUCCGGGUUUCCAGCUUUUCCAAUACCAACAAUAAUACCCUUUUUGAUACCAAUGUCUGCCUUAUAAAUACCAGUAUAAUCAAUGAUCAAUGCAUUUGUGAUCACCAAAUCAAGUACUUCAUGAUCCAACUUGGCUGUCGCCUGCCCCAUGCCUUCACG
This 289-nucleotide small RNA is filed under the name Choanephora cucurbitarum. Its description in RNAcentral is "Choanephora infundibulifera f. cucurbitarum 5' ureB small RNA". It matches the Rfam family "5' ureB small RNA". The record is from Rfam by way of RNAcentral. Lineage: Eukaryota; Fungi; Mucoromycota; Mucoromycetes; Mucorales; Choanephoraceae.